This is a long non-coding RNA of Eupeodes corollae, 570 nucleotides long. RefSeq lists it as uncharacterized. The transcript has 3 exons. The record is from RefSeq and is a predicted model, not a curated record. NCBI's taxonomy places the organism in Eukaryota, Metazoa, Arthropoda, Insecta, Diptera, Syrphidae.
UUAUUUUACUUUUAACUACUCACGUAGUAUGUCAAAACAGUUCUUAAAUUCAUUUGAUUUUCUCAUAAUUUUUUUUUGAAAAUGUAUUGCCCCUUAGAAGACGAAGCUGAUCCGGGUCCCCCAAAGAGAUUCAACAAUACUAAUCAUUUGUUUUUAAAAAUACUUGGUUUUGUUUUUGGACUUGGUGCAGCAUUGACAAUUUUUCUUUUAAUUUAUUAUUCAACUUUAUUAAAAUCCGAAAGAGAGAAUGAUGUUCUUAUAAAAUUUGAAAAAAUGCUUGAGAAAACAAAUGGAACUAAUUUGAGUCUUUGAUGAUUUUGAUUAAUUUGAUAAAAAUGUAUCCAAAUACUAAUUCAGCUUGGGGAGUUCCCAAUGCAAAUGAAUUCGUUCUGGAUUAUUCAAUUUUAUAUGAAGGAAUAAUUGGUUGUAUUCUAACCGGAUGUGGUAUAAUUAUACUAAUAUGCUUAGGAUUUGCUUUAAUUUUUCUUAUUCAGCCAUUCAUAAAUUACUUUCAACCAUCAUCAUCAGUGUCAAUAUUCAAUCAGACAAAUGAUAAAAUUGAUUACGAAA